GAAAUUUGUGAAAUAAAAAAGAUAUUACAUUUUGGAGAAUUUCAUGAGUUUGGUAGUAGAUCUAUAGUUCAAAUUUUGAGGACUUUUGAGAAUAAUUGUUUGAAGUAUAUGCUUUAAUUUUGAGCUUGAUUAAUUGGUUAAAUUGAAGGUUAUUGAAUUUUAAGUAGGUUAAGGUCUCAAAAAUUGGACUUUGAAGGAUAAUUAGGGUUUUUAAGAUUUUUAGCAAUGUACUAGUUGGAUUGAAGUGAAAUUUGUAUUUAAAGGUAAUAGACUUGAUUUGUUAUAUAUCUGUGAAAUUAAAAAACAAUUGAAUAGUUUAAAAAUGAGAUAUUGGCAUUGGAAGUUCAACAUUUAGAUUGGAGUAGGAAGUUAGCCAAUACUCAAAUAGGUUUUAGGAUUUUUCUUCCAUUUGAUAAGUGCGAUUAUAUUCAAAUUUGUUGUACUAUUUUUUAAUUAAGAUAUUGAGAGGUAUAUAAAUUUUUAAGAAAGAAAAAUAAUUUAAUCAAUAGAUAUUAGGAUUUUAAUCUACCUUAGGAUUUGGAUUAGGAUUUUAGGAUUUAUUUAGGAUUUGUCUAAGGUUUGGUUUAGAAUUUAGGAUUUUUCUAGGAUUUAGUUGAAGAUUUAGGAUUUAAUUAGGAUUUAGUUUAGAGUCUAAAAUUUGAUUAGGAUUUGAUUUAGGAUUUAAGAUUUAGAAUUUGUUUAGGGUUUGGUUUAGAAUUUAGGAUUUCUCUAAGAUUUGGAUUAAGAUUUAGGAUUUAUCUAAGAUUUAAAUUAGGAUUUAAGAUAUAUUUAGGAUUUGAUUUAGGAUUUAAAAUUUAUUUAAGGUUUAGGAUUUGGCUAAGAAUUUGAUUGAAGUCCAUUAGGAUUUCAAUUAAGAUUAAAUUAAGACUUGAUUGAGAUUUAUAUAAGAUAUAUUUGUGAUUAUUUUAAUAUUUCUUUUAAGUUUCUUAAGGAUUAUUUUAAGGUUUAUUGUGGAUUUCUUUUGAAUUCCUUUAAGAUUUUUUAUUGUUUCUUUUGUAAUUUCUUUAAAGUUUCUUUUGAAUUUAUUUAAAGCUUAUUUAAUAUUUUUAAUGAUUUAAUUAGAGUUAUUUAAUAUUCUAUUAGAAUUAAGAUUUUGUUAUUGUAAUUUCCACUCUACCUUCCACAACUAGGUAUUUGGUGCAUUUUUGAACAAGACUUCAUAUAAUAUAACAACAUUUCUUCUUUAAGAAAUAGAUUUAUUUGAUUUAAGUAAAGUAGACUCUAUGUACCAUAAGACAAGU
Molecule: long non-coding RNA, 1262 nt
Filed under: Physcomitrium patens
Lineage: Eukaryota; Viridiplantae; Streptophyta; Bryopsida; Funariales; Funariaceae
Description: long non-coding RNA (PPAT_LNC008510)
Source: RNAcentral